RNAcentral lists this unclassified non-coding RNA (240 nucleotides) under soil metagenome. Its description in RNAcentral is "partial contains 5.8S ribosomal RNA, internal transcribed spacer 2, and large subunit ribosomal RNA". The record is from RNAcentral.
AACUGAUACUACCUGCGGGAACCUGCGGAAGGAUCAUUACCGAGUGCGGGCCCUCUGGGUCCAACCUCCCAUCCGUGUCUCUUGUACCCUGUUGCUUCGGCGGGCCCGCCUUCAUGGCCGCCGGGGGGCUUCUGCCCCCGGGCCCGCGCCCGCCGGAGACUCCAACAUUGAACACUGUCUGAAGGUUGCAGUCUGAGUUUUCAUAUAAGAAAAAUCGUUAAAACUUUCAACAAUGGAUCU